GGGGGUGUGGUGUAACGGAUAGCAUCAGGGGUUUCGAACCCUUGGAUUCCGGUUCGAUUCCGGACACCCUCA
This 72-nucleotide transfer RNA is filed under the name Methanobacteriota archaeon. RNAcentral's name for it is "Euryarchaeota archaeon tRNA-Arg". It matches the Rfam family "tRNA". Rfam says of the family: Transfer RNA (tRNA) molecules are approximately 80 nucleotides in length. Their secondary structure includes four short double-helical elements and three loops (D, anti-codon, and T loops). Further hydrogen bonds mediate the characteristic L-shaped molecular structure. tRNAs have two regions of fundamental functional importance: the anti-codon, which is responsible for specific mRNA codon recognition, and the 3' end, to which the tRNAs corresponding amino acid is attached (by aminoacyl-tRNA synthetases). tRNAs cope with the degeneracy of the genetic code in two manners: having more than one tRNA (with a specific anti-codon) for a particular amino acid; and 'wobble' base-pairing, i.e. permitting non-standard base-pairing at the 3rd anti-codon position. Lineage: Archaea; Methanobacteriati; Methanobacteriota. The record is from RNAcentral.